Molecule: ribosomal RNA, 323 nt
Filed under: uncultured bacterium
Lineage: Bacteria
Description: bacterial SSU rRNA
Rfam family: Bacterial small subunit ribosomal RNA
Source: RNAcentral
AGUAGACGUUCAGAGUUUGAUCCUGGCUCAGGACGAAUGCUGGCGGCGUGCUUAACACAUGCAAGUCACGGGGCCGCAAGGGUAACCGGCGAACGGGUGCGUAACACGUGAACAAUCUGCCUAGAUGUGGGGAUAGCCGGCCCAACGGCCGGGUAAUACCGCAUACGCUCUUCGGGUGGCAUCACUUGAAGAGGAAACCUCCGGGGCAUCUAGAGGAGUUCGCGGCCUAUCAGCUAGUUGGUGGGGUAACGGCCUACCAAGGCAAUGACGGGUAGCUGGUCUGAGAGGAUGGCCAGCCACAUUGGGACUGAGAUACGGCCCAG